RNAcentral lists this ribosomal RNA (253 nucleotides) under uncultured bacterium. RNAcentral describes it as "partial 16S ribosomal RNA". It matches the Rfam family "Bacterial small subunit ribosomal RNA", at positions 524 to 776 of the family's 1533-position model. The record is from RNAcentral.
UACGAGUGCUUCGAGCGUUAUCCGGAAUCAUUGGGCGUAAAGGGUGUGUAGGUGGCGAUGUUAGUCUCGCGUUAAAUCUUUCGGCUCAACCGAGAGGCUGCGUGGGAAACGGCAUUGCUUGAGGACGGGAGAGGUUUCUGGAACUCUAAGUGUAGCGGUGAAAUGCGUUGAUAUUUAGGGGAACACCAAAAGCGAAGGCAAGAAACUGGCCCGCUCCUGACACUGAAACACGAAAGCGUGGGUCGCGAAUGGG